This 70-nucleotide transfer RNA is filed under the name Aphthona albertinae. RNAcentral describes it as "tRNA-Lys". Lineage: Eukaryota; Metazoa; Arthropoda; Insecta; Coleoptera; Chrysomelidae. The record is from RNAcentral.
CAUUAGGUGGCUGAAAGUAAGCAAUGGAAUUUUAAAUCAUUAAUAGUAGAGUCACGGAUGCUUCUAAUGA